This 503-nucleotide ribosomal RNA is filed under the name uncultured soil bacterium. RNAcentral describes it as "bacterial SSU rRNA". It matches the Rfam family "Bacterial small subunit ribosomal RNA", at positions 26 to 511 of the family's 1533-position model. The record is from RNAcentral.
AGACUGAACGCUGGCGGCAUGCCUAACACAUGCAAGUCGAACGGCAGCACAGCCCCGCAAGGGGUGGGUGGCGAGUGGCGGACGGGUGAGGAAUACAUCGGAAUCUGCCCUGUUGUGGGGGAUAACCCAUCGAAAGGUGGGCUAAUACCGCAUGAGACGGUGACGUGAAAGCGGGGGACCAGCAAUGGCCUCGCGCGACGGGAUGAGCCGAUGUCGGAUUAGCUAGUUGGUAGGGUAAAGGCCUACCAAGGCUACGAUCCGUAGCUGGUCUGAGAGGAUGAUCAGCCACACUGGGACUGAGACACGGCCCAGACUCCUACGGGAGGCAGCAGUGGGGAAUAUUGGACAAUGGGCGCAAGCCUGAUCCAGCAAUGCCGCGUGUGUGAAGAAGGCCUUCGGGUUGUAAAGCUACGUUUUAGUCGGGUAGACGGAAAAGCGGAUGGUAGAAUACCUAUCCGUGCUGACGGUACCGAGGAAUAAGCACCGGCUAACGUUCGCGACCG